This 731-nucleotide ribosomal RNA is filed under the name uncultured bacterium. Its description in RNAcentral is "bacterial SSU rRNA". It matches the Rfam family "Bacterial small subunit ribosomal RNA", at positions 771 to 1501 of the family's 1533-position model. The record is from RNAcentral.
AACAGGAUUAGAUACCCUGGUAGUCCACGCCGUAAACGAUGUCAACUAGCCGUUGGGAUCCUUGAGAUCUUAGUGGCGCAGCUAACGCAUUAAGUUGACCGCCUGGGGAGUACGGCCGCAAGGUUAAAACUCAAAUGAAUUGACGGGGGCCCGCACAAGCGGUGGAGCAUGUGGUUUAAUUCGAUGCAACGCGAAGAACCUUACCUACUCUUGACAUCCAGAGAACUUAGCAGAGAUGCUUUGGUGCCUUCGGGAGCUCUGAGACAGGUGCUGCAUGGCUGUCGUCAGCUCGUGUUGUGAAAUGUUGGGUUAAGUCCCGCAACGAGCGCAACCCUUAUCCUUUGUUGCCAGCGAUUCGGUCGGGAACUCUUUUUGUGACUGCCGGUGAUAAACCGGAGGAAGGUGGGGAUGACGUCAAGUCAUCAUGGCCCUUACGAGUAGGGCUACACACGUGCUACAAUGGCGCAUACAAAGAGAAGCGACCUCGCGAGAGCAAGCGGACCUCAUAAAGUGCGUCGUAGUCCGGAUCGGAGUCUGCAACUCGACUCCGUGAAGUCGGAAUCGCUAGUAAUCGUGGAUCAGAAUGCCACGGUGAAUACGUUCCCGGGCCUUGUACACACCGCCCGUCACACCAUGGGAGUGGGUUGCAAAAGAAGUAGGUAGCUUAACCUUCGGGAGGGCGCUUACCACUUUGUGAUUCAUGACUGGGGUGAAGUCGUAACAAGGUAACC